This 2002-nucleotide ribosomal RNA is filed under the name metagenome. RNAcentral's name for it is "bacterial LSU rRNA". It matches the Rfam family "Bacterial large subunit ribosomal RNA", at positions 14 to 2033 of the family's 2925-position model. The record is from RNAcentral.
AGGGCACAUGGCGGAUGCCUUGGCUCUCGGAGGCGAUGAAGGACGUGAUAAGCUGCGAUAAGCUGCGGGUAGGUGCAAAUGACCUUUGAUCCGCGGAUUUCCGAAUGGGACAACCCGGUACUUUGAAGAAGUAUCAUCCUGCAUUGCAGGAGGCUAACGCAGGGAACUGAAACAUCUUAGUACCUGCAGGAAAAGAAAAUAAACAAUGAUUCCCCCAGUAGUGGCGAGCGAACGGGGAAUAGCCCAAACCAUCCAUGUUACGGCAUGGGUGGGGUUGUAGGACCACGCCGUGGCAAGAAAGUUGGUGAGCAGAAUGUUCUGGAAAGUACAGCCAUAGAGCAUGAGAGCUGCGUAUGCGAAGCCAAGCGAAGCCUAGUGGUAUCCUGAGUAGCGCGGAGCACGAGGAAUUCUGCGUGAAUCUGCCGGGACCAUCCGGUAAGGCUAAAUACUCCCGAGAGACCGAUAGUGAACCAGUACUGUGAAGGAAAGGUGAAAAGCACUUCGAACAGAAGAGUGAAAUAGUUCCUGAAACCAUGUGCCUACAAGCGGUCGGAGCACCUUCUGGUGUGACGGCGUGCCUUUUGCAUAAUGAACCUACGAGUUACUUUUUCCGGCGAGGUUAAGGAUUUCAGAUCUGCAGCCGAAGCGAAAGCGAGUCUGAACAGGGCGUAUAGUCGGAAGGAGUAGACGCGAAACCAAGUGAUCUACCCUUGGGCAGGUUGAAGGAUGGGUAACACCAUCUGGAGGACCGAACCAAUAAGCGUUGAAAAGCUUCUGGAUGACCUGAGGGUGGGGGUGAAAGGCUAAUCAAACUUGGAGAUAGCUCGUACUCCCCGAAAUGCAUUUAGGUGCAGCCUUGACUUAUACUGGCAUGAGGUAGAGCGACUGAUAAGAUGCGAGGGCUUCACCGCCUAUCAAGUCUUGACAAACUCCGAAUGCGUGUCAGUUCUAUGUCAGGAGUGAGGGCAUGGGUGCUAAGGUCCAUGUCCUAAAGGAGAACAAUCCGGACCAACAGCUAAGGUCCCGAAAUGAAUACUAAGUUGAACUAACGAAGUCAGAUUGCUAAGACAGCUAGGAUGUUGGCUUGGAAGCAGCCAUUCAUUUAAAGAGUGCGUAACAGCUCACUAGUCGAGGAGUUUGGCGUGGAUAAUAAUCGGGCAUAAGUAUUCUACCGAAGCUUUGGGAUGAGAAAUCAUCGGUAGGGGAGCAUUCCACUCGGCGUCGAAGGUGAAGCGCGAGCUUUGCUGGAGCGUGUGGAAAAGCAAAUGUAGGUAUAAGUAACGAUAAAGGGGGUGGGAAACCCCCUCGCCGAAAGACUAAGGUUUCCUGAUCAACGCUAAUCGGAUCAGGGUAAGUCGGGUCCUAAGGCUCAGCCGAACGGCGAGGCCGAUGGCAGAACCGGUUAAUAUUCCGGUACUACCUGUGGGAGUGACGUGGAGACGGAGUCGUGACAGCGCCGCGGACUGACGGAAUAGUCCGUUGAAGGGUGUAGAUGCUGAUUGUUCCAGGCAAAUCCGGAGCAAGAGUCGAACCUGAUAGUAUGGAGCGUUCUUAGAACAAUCCAAUAGUGCGUGUAAUCAUACUUCCAAGAAAAUCCGCUAAACUUAAUCCUGCAGGUACCCGUACCGCAAACGGACACACGUAGUCGGGUUGAAUAUACUAAGGCGCUUGAGUGAUUCACGGUUAAGGAACUAGGCAAACUGACCCUGUAACUUCGGGAUAAAGGGUCCUCGCUUAACGGCGAGGCGCAGAGAAUAGGUCCAGGCAACUGUUUAACAAAAACACAGGGCUGUGCAAAAUUGAAAGAUGAAGUAUACAGCCUGACACCUGCCCGGUGCUGGAAGGUUAAGAGGAGAUGUCAUCGCAAGAGAAGCAUUGAAUUGAAGCCCCAGUAAACGGCGGCCGUAACUAUAACGGUCCUAAGGUAGCGAAAUUCCUUGUCGGGUAAGUUCCGACCUGCACGAAUGGUGUAAUGAUCUGGACGCUGUCUCAACCGUGAGCU